CCUACGGGUGGCUGCAGUGGGGAAUAUUGGACAAUGGGGGGAACCCUGAUCCAGCCAUGCCGCGUGUGUGAAGAAGGCCCUCGGGUUGUAAAGCACUUUCAGUGAGGAAGAACGCCUGGUGGUUAAUACCCAUCAGGAAAGACAUCACUCACAGAAGAAGCACCGGCUAACUCCGUGCCAGCAGCCGCGGUAAUACGGAGGGUGCGAGCGUUAAUCGGAAUUACUGGGCGUAAAGCGCGCGUAGGUGGCUUGAUAAGCCGGUUGUGAAAGCCCCGGGCUCAACCUGGGAACGGCAUCCGGAACUGUCAAGCUAGAGUGCAGGUGAGGAAGGUAGAAUUCCCGGUGUAGCGGUGAAAUGCGUAGAGAUCGGGAGGAAUACCAGUGGCGAAGGCGGCCUUCUGGACUGACACUGACACUGAGGUGCGAAAGCGUGGGUAGCAAACAGGAUUAGAUACCCUUGUAGUC
This 465-nucleotide ribosomal RNA is filed under the name Vreelandella stevensii. Its description in RNAcentral is "partial 16S ribosomal RNA". It matches the Rfam family "Bacterial small subunit ribosomal RNA", at positions 338 to 795 of the family's 1533-position model. The record is from RNAcentral. Lineage: Bacteria; Pseudomonadati; Pseudomonadota; Gammaproteobacteria; Oceanospirillales; Halomonadaceae.